RNAcentral lists this ribosomal RNA (215 nucleotides) under Pseudoalteromonas shioyasakiensis. RNAcentral describes it as "partial 16S ribosomal RNA". It matches the Rfam family "Bacterial small subunit ribosomal RNA", at positions 1324 to 1533 of the family's 1533-position model. Lineage: Bacteria; Pseudomonadati; Pseudomonadota; Gammaproteobacteria; Alteromonadales; Pseudoalteromonadaceae. The record is from RNAcentral.
AGUCGGAAUCGCUAGUAAUCGCGUAUCAGAAUGACGCGGUGAAUACGUUCCCGGGCCUUGUACACACCGCCCGUCACACCAUGGGAGUGGGUUGCUCCAGAAGUGGAUAGUCUAACCUUCGGGAGGACGUUCACCACGGAGUGAUUCAUGACUGGGGUGAAGUCGUAACAAGGUAGCCCUAGGGGAACCUGGGGCUGGAUCACCUCCUUAUACGA